CAGUCGCCGCGGGAAUACAGAGGGUGCGAGCGUUAAUCGGAUUUACUGGGCGUAAAGCGUGCGUAGGCGGCUUCUUAAGUCGGAUGUGAAAUCCCUGAGCUUAACUUAGGAAUUGCAUUCGAUACUGGGAAGCUAGAGUAUGGGAGAGGAUGGUAGAAUUCCAGGUGUAGCGGUGAAAUGCGUAGAGAUCUGGAGGAAUACCGAUGGCGAAGGCAGCCAUCUGGCCUAAUACUGACGCUGAGGUACGAAAGCAUGGGGAGCAAACAGGAUUAGAUACCCCAGUAGUCCCUGUCUCUUUACA
This 301-nucleotide ribosomal RNA is filed under the name uncultured bacterium. RNAcentral describes it as "partial 16S ribosomal RNA". It matches the Rfam family "Bacterial small subunit ribosomal RNA", at positions 509 to 808 of the family's 1533-position model. The record is from RNAcentral.